Molecule: ribosomal RNA, 276 nt
Filed under: uncultured bacterium
Lineage: Bacteria
Description: partial 16S ribosomal RNA
Rfam family: Bacterial small subunit ribosomal RNA
Source: RNAcentral
CGCCUACGGGAGGCAGCAGUAGGGAAUCUUCCACAAUGGACGAAAGUCUGACGGAGCAACGCCGCGUGAGUGAAGAAGGGUUUCGGCUCGUAAAGCUCUGUUGGUAGUGGAGAAAGAUAGAGGUAGUAACUGGCCUUUAUUUGACGGUAAUUACUUAGAAAGUCACGGCUAACUACGUGCCAGCAGCCGCGGUAAUACGUAGGUGGCAAGCGUUGUCUGGCUUUAUUGGGCGUAAAGCGAGUGCAGGCGGGUCAAUAAGUCUGCUGUGAAAGCCUU